RNAcentral lists this ribosomal RNA (830 nucleotides) under uncultured Alteromonas sp. RNAcentral's name for it is "bacterial SSU rRNA". It matches the Rfam family "Bacterial small subunit ribosomal RNA", at positions 95 to 926 of the family's 1533-position model. Lineage: Bacteria; Pseudomonadati; Pseudomonadota; Gammaproteobacteria; Alteromonadales; Alteromonadaceae. The record is from RNAcentral.
GUGGCGGACGGGUGAGUAAUGCUUGGGAACUUGCCUUUGCGAGGGGGAUAACAGUUGGAAACGACUGCUAAUACCGCAUAAUGUCUUCGGACCAAACGGGGCUUCGGCUCCGGCGCAAAGAGAGGCCCAAGUGAGAUUAGCUAGUUGGUAAGGUAAAGGCUUACCAAGGCGACGAUCUCUAGCUGUUCUGAGAGGAAGAUCAGCCACACUGGGACUGAGACACGGCCCAGACUCCUACGGGAGGCAGCAGUGGGGAAUAUUGCACAAUGGGGGAAACCCUGAUGCAGCCAUGCCGCGUGUGUGAAGAAGGCCUUCGGGUUGUAAAGCACUUUCAGUUGUGAGGAAAAGUUAGUAGUUAAUACCUGCUAGCCGUGACGUUAACAACAGAAGAAGCACCGGCUAACUCCGUGCCAGCAGCCGCGGUAAUACGGAGGGUGCGAGCGUUAAUCGGAAUUACUGGGCGUAAAGCGCACGCAGGCGGUUUGUUAAGCUAGAUGUGAAAGCCCCGGGCUCAACCUGGGAUGGUCAUUUAGAACUGGCAGACUAGAGUCUUGGAGAGGGGAGUGGAAUUCCAGGUGUAGCGGUGAAAUGCGUAGAUAUCUGGAGGAACAUCAGUGGCGAAGGCGACUCCCUGGCCAAAGACUGACGCUCAUGUGCGAAAGUGUGGGUAGCGAACAGGAUUAGAUACCCUGGUAGUCCACACCGUAAACGCUGUCUACUAGCUGUGUGUGUCUUUAAGACGUGCGUAGCGAAGCUAACGCGCUAAGUAGACCGCCUGGGGGAGUACGGCCGCAAGGUUAAAACUCAAAUGAAUUGACGGGGGCCCGCAC